This is a long non-coding RNA of Oncorhynchus keta (chum salmon), 733 nucleotides long. RefSeq lists it as uncharacterized. Lineage: Eukaryota; Metazoa; Chordata; Actinopteri; Salmoniformes; Salmonidae. The record is from RefSeq and is a predicted model, not a curated record. The transcript has 5 exons.
CGGAGAGAGGAGAGAGGGAGACCAUAAGGUAAGGAGGAUCACGAUGCCGGAGAGAGGAGAGAGGGAGACCAUAAGGUAAGGAGGAUCACGAUGCCGGAGAGAGGAGAGAGGGAGACCAUAAGGUAAGGAGGAUCACGAUGCCGGAGAGAGGAGAGAGGGAGACCAUAAGGUAAGGAGGAUCACGAUGCCGGAGAGAGGAGAGAGGGAGACCAUAAGGUAAGGAGGAUCACGAUGCCGGAGAGAGGAGAGAGGGAGACCAUAAGGUAAGGAGGAUCACGAUGCCGGAGAGAGGAGAGAGGGAGACCAUAAGGUAAGGAGGAUCACGAUGCCGGAGAGAGGAGAGAGGGAGAGAGGAGAGAGGGAGACCAUAAGGUAAGGAGGAUCACGAUGCCGGAGAGAGGGAGACCAUAAGGUAAGGAGGAUCACGAUGCCGGAGAGAGGGAGAUGAUAAGGUAAGGAGGAUCACGAUGCCGGAGAGAGGGAGACGAUAAGGUAAGGAGGAUCACGAUGCCGGAGAGAGGGAGACGAUAAGGUAAGGAGGAUCACGAUGCCGGAGAGAGGGAGAUGAUAAGGUAAGGAGGAUCACGAUGCCAGAGAGAGGGAGACGAUAAGGUAAGGAGGAUCACGAUGCCGGAGAGAGGAAGACCAUAAGGUAAGGAGGAUCACGAUGCCGGAGAGAGGAGAGAGGAAGACCAUAAGGUAAGGAGGAUCACAAUGCCAGAGAGAGGAGAGA